Molecule: ribosomal RNA, 1321 nt
Filed under: metagenome
Description: bacterial LSU rRNA
Rfam family: Bacterial large subunit ribosomal RNA
Source: RNAcentral
AGUGGAUGGGGAGCAACCUAGUUGUGCGUGUGUAAAGGUAGUGCCAAGAAAAGCGGUGAUCAUGAUGAAAAUCAAUUCCCGGUACCCGAAACCGACACAGGUGGGCAAGUAGAGAAUACUAAGGGGCGCGAGGUAACUCUCUCCAAGGAACUCGGCAAAAUGACCCCGUAACUUAGGGAGAAGGGGUGCCACCGAGAGGUGGUCGCAGUGAAGAGGCCCAGGCGACUGUUUAGCAAAAACAUAGGUCUCUGCAAACUCGAAAGAGGAGGUAUAGGGGCUGACGCCUGCCCAGUGCCGGAAGGUUAAAGAAGUUGGUCAGUCUUAGGAUAAAGCUAGCGACUGAAGCCCCGGUGAACGGCGGCCGUAACUAUAACGGUCCUAAGGUAGCGAAAUUCCUUGUCGGGUAAGUUCCGACCCGCACGAAAGGCGUAACGAUCUGGGCGCUGUCUCGGAGAGAGGCUCGGCGAAAUAGGAUUGUCUGUGAAGAUACGGACUACCUGCAUUUGGACAGAAAGACCCUAUGAAGCUUUACUAUAGCUUGGAAUUGUGUUCGGGCUUCCUGCGCGCAUAGGUGGGAGGCGAAGAAGGUAUUCUUGUGGGGAUACUGGAGCCAACGGUGAGAUACCACUCCCAGGAGGCUAGAAUUCUAACUUAAUUAAGGACAGUUUCAGGUGGGUAGUUUGACUGGGGCGGUCGCCUCCAAAAAGGUAACGGAGGCGUACAAAGGUUCCCUCAGACUGGUUGGAAAUCAGUCGCAGAGUGCAAAGGCAGAAGGGAGCUUGACUGCGAGAAGUACAGUUCGAGCAGGGUGGAAACACGGUCUUAGUGAUCCGACGGUGCUGUGUGGAAGGGCCGUCGCUCAACGGAUAAAAGUUACUCUAGGAUAACAGGCUGAUCUCCCCCAAGAGUUCACAUCGACGGGGAGGUUUGGCACCUCGAUGUCGGCUCAUCGCAACCUGGGGCGGAAGUACGUCCCAAGGGUUGGGCUGUUCGCCCAUUAAAGCGGUACGUGAGCUGGGUUCAGAACGUCGUGAGACAGUUCGGUCCAUAUCCGAUGUAGGCGUGAGAAUAUUGAGAGGAGCCUUCCUUAGUACGAGAGGACCGGGAAGGACGCACCGCUGGUGUACCUGUUAUGAUGCCAAUUGUAAACGCAGGGUAGCCAAGUGCGGAGAGGAUAACCGCUGAAAGCAUCUAAGUGGGAAGCCCACCUCAAGAUGAGUAUUCUGGUGUAAGGUCACGGGAAGACGACCCGUAAAUAGGCACGAGGUGGAAGUGCAGAGAUGUAUGAAGCCGAAGUGUACUAAUAGACCGUCGGCUUGAC